UUGAACCUCACUCCAAUAAGUCUCACCACCGUUUCUAUUUUGCCAUCCCCUGCUUCUGAGAGAGAUGGUUAAACCACCAUCACCACCACCAGCUGUGCCACCACCUCCACCGGCAGAUGCACCAGCGGGCAGACCUAAUGGGUGCCUAAUGCCAUGGUUGUGGUUUCUCUGUUGCUGCGGUCUCCUUACAAGCUGCUGUCCAGAAACUUUGCCACGAGGACCCCCACCUGCUCUUUGACAACUUAAUUUUAAUUCUUGUAGAGAUUAAAGAAAAUUUUCCCUUUUUGUUACAAUAUUUCAAGUGAAAACAACAGAAUGAUCCAUCAAA
Long non-coding RNA from Jatropha curcas, 328 nucleotides. RefSeq lists it as uncharacterized. The record is from RefSeq and is a predicted model, not a curated record. NCBI's taxonomy places the organism in Eukaryota, Viridiplantae, Streptophyta, Magnoliopsida, Malpighiales, Euphorbiaceae.